GAUGAACGCUGACAGAAUGCUUAACACAUGCAAGUCUUUGGCGAAUCUGUGCUUGCACAGGCUAGCCAAGGCGGACGGGUGAGUAACGCGUAAAGAACUUGCCCUGCAGACAGGGAUAACAGACGGAAACGACUGAUAACACCUGAUACAGUUGCCGGCACGCAUGUGCCUGGCAAUGAAAAGAGAUGCUGCAGGAGAGCUUUGCGUCCUAUUAGCUUGUUGGUGAGGUGACGGCUCACCAAGGCGAUGAUAGGUAGCCGGCCUGAGAGGGUGAACGGCCACAAGGGGACUGAGAUACGGCCCUUACUCCUACGGGAGGCAGCAGUGGGGAAUAUUGGACAAUGGGGGCAACCCUGAUCCAGCAAUUCUGUGUGCACGAAGAAGGUUUUCGGAGUGUAAAGUGCUUUCAGCAGGGAAGAAGAAAGUGACGGUACCUGCAGAAGAAGCGACGGCUAAAUACGUG
Molecule: ribosomal RNA, 463 nt
Filed under: uncultured bacterium
Lineage: Bacteria
Description: partial 16S ribosomal RNA
Rfam family: Bacterial small subunit ribosomal RNA
Source: RNAcentral